GUUCCACCUUCCUUUGCCCCAUCAUCUCCUCGUUCCUCUCUGAUCACCUGUCGAACUUGAGUGUCCCUUAGAGACAGAGAAGAGAAAGAUAAAACAGGCCAAGCAGAUGAACUGAAUGGGGAUGUGGUGGGAAUCACAUCUACAGCCUUCAAUUUCUUGAUGGUGGCACACAUAUCAGCAAACUUUCCAGGACUGUGAUAUUGCCUUAGUUUACUAUUUUACCAGUGGAGUGCUGUCACUUGGCCUCUGCCACCCUGGGAUGCAAUUACUCCCAUUACAUUUCACUUUCCCAGUUCAGUGACCAUUGCCCACUGUCAGGCCUGGAUCACAGAGAAGAGAGAUUGCUGAGCUCCUCAAGGAUGAUGAGACCCUUCCUCACAAAUUCAUUUCUCAUCAUAAAGGCAGAUCUGGAAUUUUCAACUCACUGUGGGCCACCUUGUGAUUCCCGUUUUAGCCAACCAAGCAACCAACCAGUCAGUCUUUUUCAUCUCCCUGAACUGCAGCAUUAACACAGAAUCUCUGCGUGCUGAGCCCACCA
Molecule: long non-coding RNA, 538 nt
Organism: Myotis myotis
Lineage: Eukaryota; Metazoa; Chordata; Mammalia; Chiroptera; Vespertilionidae
Exons: 4
Source: RefSeq, a predicted model, not a curated record